CCGUGCAGCCGGGAGAGCAGCGGCCUCUUGUACCUGCAAUCCGCUAUAGCAGGGGUGAUGGCGCGCAGAGGGCUUUGGCCUGUAUUGCUGCCCUUUAUAAGUGGCGUUGAAGUUUGGGUCUUGCGCAACGGGUGUCUGUGAACCGUGUCAGGUUGGGAACAAAGCAGCACUAAGCAGAAUUUCCCGUGUGCCGCAAGGGUGCCUGGCGGAGUUAACUGUAAAGGUAACGGAUAUGGGUGACGGUUCGAAGCGUGCCGCACGG
Molecule: signal recognition particle RNA, 262 nt
Filed under: Eubacteriales bacterium
Lineage: Bacteria; Bacillati; Bacillota; Clostridia; Eubacteriales
Description: signal recognition particle sRNA large type
Rfam family: Bacterial large signal recognition particle RNA
About the family: The signal recognition particle (SRP) is a universally conserved ribonucleoprotein involved in the co-translational targeting of proteins to membranes. Archaeal SRP consists of a 7S RNA and homologues of the eukaryotic SRP19 and SRP54 proteins.
Source: RNAcentral